RNAcentral lists this ribosomal RNA (492 nucleotides) under uncultured bacterium. RNAcentral describes it as "partial 16S ribosomal RNA". It matches the Rfam family "Bacterial small subunit ribosomal RNA", at positions 29 to 507 of the family's 1533-position model. The record is from RNAcentral.
AGUGAACGCUGGCGGUAGGCCUAACACAUGCAAGUCGAACGGCAGCACAGUAAGAGCUUGCUCUUACGGGUGGCGAGUGGCGGACGGGUGAGGAAUACAUCGGAAUCUACUUUUUCGUGGGGGAUAACGUAGGGACACUUACGCUAAUACCGCAUACGACCUACGGGUGAAAGCAGGGGAUCUUCGGACCUUGCGCGAUUGAAUGAGCCGAUGUCGGAUUAGCUAGUUGGCGGGGUAAAGGCCCACCAAGGCGACGAUCCGUAGCUGGUCUGAGAGGAUGAUCAGCCACACUGGAACUGAGACACGGUCCAGACUCCUACGGGAGGCAGCAGUGGGGAAUAUUGGACAAUGGGCGCAAGCCUGAUCCAGCCAUACCGCGUGGGUGAAGAAGGCCUUCGGGUUGUAAAGCCCUUUUGUUGGGAAAGAAAAGCAGCAGGUUAAUACCCCGCUGUUCUGACGGUACCCAAGGAAUAAGCACCGGCUAACUUCGUG